This 494-nucleotide ribosomal RNA is filed under the name uncultured bacterium. RNAcentral's name for it is "partial 16S ribosomal RNA". It matches the Rfam family "Bacterial small subunit ribosomal RNA", at positions 28 to 507 of the family's 1533-position model. The record is from RNAcentral.
GACGAACGCUGGCGGCGUGCUUAACACAUGCAAGUCGAACGGUGAAGCGCCUUCCUUUUUGGUGGGUGUGGAUGAGUGGCGAACGGGUGAGUAACACGUGAGUAACCUGCCCCCUUCUUCUGGAUAACCGCAUGAAAGUGUGGCUAAUACGGGAUAUUCUGGGUCGGUCGCAUGAUGGGUCUGGGAAAGAUAUUGUUUCGGUGGGGGAUGGGCUCGCGGCCUAUCAGCUUGUUGGUGGGGUGAUGGCCUACCAAGGCGGUGACGGGUAGCCGGCCUGAGAGGGUGGACGGUCACACUGGGACUGAGACACGGCCCAGACUCCUACGGGAGGCAGCAGUGGGGAAUAUUGCACAAUGGGCGCAAGCCUGAUGCAGCGACGCCGCGUGAGGGAUGGAGGCCUUCGGGUUGUGAACCUCUUUCGCCAGUGAAGCAGGCCUGCCUCGUUUGUGGGUGGGUUGACGGUAGCUGGAUAAGAAGCGCCGGCUAACUACGUG